This 1142-nucleotide long non-coding RNA is filed under the name Monodelphis domestica (gray short-tailed opossum). RNAcentral's name for it is "lncRNA (ENSMODG00000037762.1)". The record is from RNAcentral. Lineage: Eukaryota; Metazoa; Chordata; Mammalia; Didelphimorphia; Didelphidae.
CCCCCCCCCCCCUUUCCUUUGCGCUGUUUAGUAGCUGGGGCUGCUGAUUACUUGGUUCCUUUUCGAAUUACCCCCUCCCCCCCCCCCCAAUUCUGGGAUCCGCCCCUACCCCUUUGACUUUAUUCAUCCAUUUCAAACAUUUCCCGGUUUGGGGGGGCUCCUUCCCUGUUUCACUGCGAUUCUGCCUCGGAGACUCGCGAGCUGUGCGACUCCAGUCAAGUCACUGGGCCUUUGCUGCUGACGGGGCCAGUAAAUAGUGCCUCCCUGCCAGAGGCCGGCUGGCGAGGAGCUUCCUUUGGGACCGCGUUUGACUCCCCUAGAGCAGGCCCGAGUCAGAGGCGACCUGGGACGGCGAGAAAAGCUCUCUGCUGCAAAGGAAUCUGGAACAGGGGGGGCGGGGAAGUUCGUUCCGCGAGUCACCCUGGGGGAGCCAGAGCCUCCCUCCCUCCCGGGGAAUAUGCGGGAGAGGGGAACACGCCUGCGCCGACGCGGACAGCCGAGGGGGGGCAGCCGAGGGCUGGAGGAGUCGGAGGAGGAUGGCGGCUCUGCAGCCGCUGCUGCUCACCUUGGCUUGGGCUGGACUUCUCCCAGCGGCGACCCAUGGCGCGGUCAUUGCCCAGCCCCAGACCCUGUCCUUCUCUUGGAACCUUGGGCAAAUGGCAAGGGCCCUGCAGUCGCACUGGCCACCACAUUCCCCCAAGGCAGCCCUGCUGGCCCAGGCCCUAGAGCGGCUCCUGGAGGCAGAGGCUGGGUGGCAGGAAUGGGAACGGGAGACCAAGGCUGAAGCUGCUGCCCUGGCCCGGCUCCUCUUGCGUCUGUGGAGCAGCUCCCAUCUGGAGCCUGAGGCCAACCUGGAGGAGGUGGUGGUACCUGGUCUCAAGGUCCAGGCCAAGGAUGAGGCAGCAGUUUCCAACCAGGAACUACUACUCAGAUUCCUGUUGGCCAAGAUGGCAGAGGCCAGAAACACUCCCACCUCCAUGUGGGGGGAAGCCUGGCCACUUCAGCGGCACCGUCUGCGCCGGGACCUGGGGCCAGCUCCUGGGUCAGUGGCUCAGGGGUAUACACUGCUCCGCCUGAACAAGGACAGGGCUCAUGUCCAGCGAGGGGCACCGCUUGCUCCCACCCGCUACUGGCCAGAGUGA